Molecule: ribosomal RNA, 621 nt
Filed under: Loma lingcodae
Lineage: Eukaryota; Fungi; Microsporidia; Glugeidae
Description: SSU rRNA
Rfam family: Microsporidia small subunit ribosomal RNA
Source: RNAcentral
CGAUGCCGAUGUCGUGGUGCCGAAUAAUGGCGACGCGAAAGAGAAAUCGAGUAGGGCCCUGGGGAGAGUACACGCGCAAGCGAGAAAUUUAAAGGAAAUUGACGGAAGAACACCACAAGGAGUGGAGUGUGCGGCUUAAUUUGACUCAACGCGGGACAACUUACCGGGCCCGACGACCGUAUGAGUGUAACACACGAUAGGUCGAAGAGUGGUGCAUGGCCGUUAACGACGAGUGGAGUGAUCUUUGGGUUAAGUCCGUAAAUUAGUGAGACCUCAGCCGUAAGGGACAGGUGCGCAAAGCACAGGAAGGAUGGGUCAAGGACAGGUCAGUGAUGCCCUUAGAUGGUCCGGGCUGCACGCGCACUACAGUGGUCGCCGAAAUUACCUGAUAAUUUUAAAGGCGAUCGAGAGGGAAUGAGCUUUGUAAGAGGCUCAGGAACGAGGAAUUGCUAGUAAUCGCGGACUCAUUAAGACGCGAUGAAUACGUCCCUGUUCUUUGUACACACCGCCCGUCGUUAUCGAAGAUGAAGAUAGGCGCGAACGAUCUACCAGAAAGUGAGCGCAGGUCUUUAGAUCUGAUACAAGUCGUAACAAGGUAGCUGUAGGAGAACCUGUAGCUGG